CGCGUGCGUUUCUUCUGAAUCGCCGCAAAAACGUCCGCGCCCGCUCGCCUGAAAGCAGCCCCACGCGCGGAGCACGGAGGCGCGGGAUGCCAGCCGAGGCCCGCUGUGGACUUUAUUGUCCCCCUGCAUCUGCGAGGGUCUAGAAGCUCCACAUACUAACGACUGAUUUCCACACGGGAGAACCUCCAAGGUCACAGUCUGAUCGGUCCGCAGAUAGGAACAGUGAAGGCCACCUUAGCAAACUCCCUCCACUUUUAUUUCACUUCAUAUGUGUGUCUGCAGGCUUUGUUUGUCAUGUAUUGAUGAUGUCAAUCAAUCAGGGAGACAGUCUCACUCUGUCACCAGGCUGGAGUGCAGUGGCACCAUCUCAGCUCUCUGCAACCUCCACCUCCCGGGUUCAAGCGAUUCUCCUGCCUCAGCCUCUGGAGUAGCUGGGAUUUCAGGCACGCACCACCACGCCUGGUUCAUUUUUGUAUUUUUAGUAGAGGCAGGGUUUCACCACAUCGGCUAGGCCAGUCUCAAACUCCUGACCUCAAGUGAACUGCCUGCCUCAGUCUCUUAAAGUGCUGUAAUUACAGGCGUGAGCCACUGCACCUGACCAAGAGUCACAUUUUGAAAUCAGUCACUGGAGCAUCUGGUACCCACAUCUUCCCACGGGAGAGGAAUGGGCUGGAGUGGACAAGUGUUGCUGAUAGUAAGAAAAGUAUCAGGGUCACCAACACCGUUUACAAGCACCUGUGUUUCAUAUGAGGAAAGCCCGAGGCUGAAUACCUGGUGGCCCAGCAGGGAAGGGGGCAGGAGCCAAGCAUGUCUUCACUUCUCGCCCCUUCGGCUUCCCCGUCAGGCCACUGGUCAGGCACUGACAUGCCCCUGACUUGACCCUCUCUGCUUUGGGGCUCAGUGUUCCCUGCUCCAGCUCAGUUUCACAAAGGACCCCACAUAAAUGGGGGGGCUCAUGAGAGGACCAGCUCUUGCCCAGGAAAGUCACUGCCAUGCCCACCUGUAGCCGGGACCAGAGUUCUCGUGCCUCUCGGUCAGCAUAGUCCUUUUCAAUGAGGUCCAGCUGCGCCUGGAGCCGGUGCCGGGCAAAAAAGGUCGGCCAGUCAUCCUGCCAUUCAUUCACCUGGCAACAAGGGGAAAGAGAGUGCUGCAGCUGGGAGCCAAGUGCUGCCCAAACCGUGGAGGGACUGAUUAAAACACACCACGGACGGCUAGUAAGCCAGCAGAGGAGGUGAGACAGAAACACAGAACAACCCAGAAGAAGGCAGGUAAAGAGGGAAGAGGGAACAAAGCGUGGAUGAGACAAACCGCAAGAUGACAGACUCAAACCUCAGCAUAGGACUAAGCACAUUAAACAGGAAUGUCAAAAGCAAAUACUCCAGGUAAAUGACAGAUUGGCAGGCGGGAAAAACAGAGCAAAAGCCAACAAGUCAUACAUCAUCUCUGAAAAAAAUCACUUAAAAUGACGGAAAAGAUACACCACGCUAACACCAGUCAAAAGAACGCUGGAGUGGCUGCAUUAACACAAGACAAAGUAGGUCUCAGAGCAAAGAAAAUCGCCAAGUAUAGUAUUUCACAAAGGGAGUCUACUGACAAGCAUAAUAAUCCUAAAUGCCUACACCGCUAAUAUCACAGCCUCAAAAUACAUACAACUAAGGACUGCAGGAGAAAUAGAUAAAUCCCAUAUCCUGCUAUGGACUGAGUGGUGCCCCAGCCCAUUCCUACGUGGAAGCCCUAACCCUAUUACAACUGUAUUGGAGGAAGGGCCUCUAGGAGGUAAUGAGGGUUAAAUAAAAUCAUAAGGGUGAAUUAUUAAUUCAGUAGGAUUAGUGGCCUAUAAGAAGAGAAAUAGAGAAAGAUUUUUCUCCCUGCACACAAAUCUCAAUACAUUUAAUUUAAGCAUGCUAAGGAUAAUGAAAUUCAAUCCGAAAUCAAUAGGAAAAUCUCUGGGAAUUCCUCAAAUAUUUGAAAGCUAAAUAACACACUUCUAAAAUCUGUGUAAGGAAGACUUCCAAAGGGAAAUUAGAAAGUGUUUUCAAUUGAAUGAAAGCAAAAACACAACUUAUAAUUUGUGAGAUGCAAUUGAAGCAAUACUUAAGGGGAAAUGUAUAGCACUAAAGGUCUGUGUGAGCAGAGAUCUCAAAUUAAUGACCUCAGCUUCUACCUUAACCAGCCAGAAAAAGAAGAGCACAUUAAACUUAAUGUAAGUAGAAAAAAUGAAAUAAUAAAGAUCUUAUCUAAAAUCAGUGAAACAGAAGUUAGAAAAAUGAGAAAAUUAACUUGUAAAAAGUUGGUCCUUUGAGGAGAUCAGUAAAAUUGAUAAACACCUAGCUGGGCUGACUCAGGAAAAAGAAGAAAGAUACAUUACCGGUAUCAGGAAUGAGAGAGGUGACAUCCAUACAGAUUUUACAGAUAUUAAAAGGAUAAUAAGGGCCAGGCGCAGUGGCUCACACCUGUGAUCCCAGCACUUUGGGAGGCCAAGGCAGGCAGAUUGCCUGAGAUCAGGAGUUCCAGACCAGCCUGGCCAACGUGAUAAAACCCUGUCGCUAUAAAAAAUAAAAAAAUUAGCCAAGCGUGGUGGUGCAAACCUGUAAUCCCAGCUAUUCAGGAGGCUGAGGCAGGAGAAUCACUUGAACUCAAGAGGCAAAAGGUUAUAGUGAGCCAGGUCUCACCACUGCACUCCAGCCUAGAUAAUAGAGCUAGACUGUCUCAAAGAAAAAAAACAUACAAAAAUUAGCCAGGCAUGGUGGCAGGCGCCUGUAGUCCCAGCUAUUCAGGAGGCUGAGACAGGAGAAUCACUUGAACCUUGAACCCAGGAGGUAGAGUCUGCAGUGAGCCAAGAUUGCGCCACUGCACUCUAGCCUGCUCAACAGAGCAAAACUCCAUUUCAAAAAAAAAAAGAAGAUAACAAGGAUUUUUUUUUUUUUUUUUGGAGACUGAGUUUUGUUCUUGUUGCCCAGACUCAGACUGGAGUGCAGUGGUGCGGUCUCAGCUCACUGCAACCUCCCCACCUCCCAGGUUCAAGUGUUUCUUCUGCCUCAGACUCCCAGGUAGCUGGGAUUACAGGCAUCUGCCACCCCGCCUGACUAAUUUUUUGUAUCUUUAGUAGAGAUGGGGUUUCAUCUUCUGAAUUACAGGCAUGAGCCACCACACCAGGCCAAGUUUGGUAGUUUCUUAAAGAGUUAAGUAUGAAUCCAUCAUGUGACACAGUCGUUCCCAACCUAAGUAUUUACCUAAGAUAAGUGGAAGCAUCUGUCCAAAGAUUUGUACACAAAGGUUCACAGCAGCUUUAUUGUGUAACCAAAAGCUGGAAAUGACCUGGAAGUCCACCCACAUGUGGAUGGAUAAAUGGGCUGUGUAAUGUCUAUACAGUGGGAUGGACUUUUGACACAUGCACCAUGGAUGUGUGUCAAGGAUGAACAUCCAAAGAUUUCAGACAUGGAUAAAUGUAAGAAUGAUUAUGCUGAGUGAAAGCAGCCAGACGAAAAGACUACAUGCCAUACGAUUCAUUUAUAUUAAAUUCCACAAGAUGCAAACUAAUCCACAGUGACUAGAUGAGUGGUUGCCCAGGCGCAGGGUCAUCAGUAUACUCACCUUGACUGUGGCAAGAGGUUCACAGGUACAAACAUGUCAAAAUGCACCAAAUUAUAUGUUUUAAAUGGGUGCAAUUUAUGUCAAUUACACCUCAAAAUAGAGAAAAAUGCAAAGCUUAUUUUGUACAAAGGGUUAUUUAUUUUGUAAAACUCCUCAGGGGAGUUUUACAGGGAGGACCACCCUGGUCGAGGGCCUGCACCAUCGAGGCUCUCCCUGCACGUAGGUGCUAUGGUGACUCGGCCUGGGGCUCACUCCCAGGUGCUAUGUGCACCUCAAGAGCAGGAUGGAAAGGCCCCCUCCCCACAGCCUGGCUAUCAGACUCCAGCUCAGAUGGGCACCCUGCCGCUUCCCGUCAUUUUCCAUGUGCCUGCCCAAGCUCCCAGCGUCUGAGUUCUGUCCUCUCUUGGGAAGACACCCAGGGCUAGUGCUGGGAGCAGGGGACCAGCAUGGGCCAGUCCAGUCCUGCUACCUGAACAGAGGGGCUGUGAUCCAGCGACCCAGGAAAGGUGCCAUCAGGGUGCACAGCUGAUCCCAGUGGCCAGGCCUCCCCUUGACAGAGGGGCAGGCAGGGCUGGGUCAUGGCCAGGCCUGUGCUCUGGAGCCAGACAGAGAACCAAAGCCCAGCUGCCCCAGUGACGAGCUCCACGGUCCCUGGAGUGUCACCCUGCACAUCAAUUUCCUCAUCUAUAACACGGAUCAAUGACAUUACCCGCCUGGUUACCUGCUAGGGCUAGUGGGUGAGCUGAGUCCAAGGAAGUGCUUAGAACAGUGCCUGGUAUAUGGCAGUGUAUGGAGCAUGUGGCCAUCAUUGCAGCCGACCCAGCUGGUGGCCCCAGUGGGCCUCAGUGCCUUCAAUGUCUGAGGAGCCCACCAUUCAGCACUGCCCCCAAAUGGAGGCAGCACACACUCCCCAGGACCCAUUCAGCCCUCCCAAGGAGUGGGAAGCCUCUGGAACCUGGUGCUGUCCGAGACAGGAUGUGCAGGAAGCAGGGCAGGUGUCCUCCCUAGCUCCUCACCCUUCCUAGCCAGGCAGCAGCUGAUCUGAGGUGGCUCCUUGAUCCUGGAGUCCAAAGGGGCGUUGAGGGGCUACCUGUGCUCCAAACAGCAACUGCCUUCUCAUCUGCUUCACACACAGGGGCUCUGGGUAAGAUUUCACUUCAUUUCUUUGAAACACCACUCUGCUGGGCCAGCCAAGUCUCACAGAUCCCACACUUGCAGCCCUUGACCUCAGCAUCCUCAACUUACCUGACAAUGAAGGCGGUGCUGCUCACUGACUCUAGGCAGCUGUGUGACCCCAGGGGAACCCGCUGUGGCUGAGAUCUCAGGGGUCUUGGUAAAUCUGGUAGACUCCAUGUGCAGUUCUAGUGAGCCCAAAUAUGAGGUCUGCCUGUUGGCUGGGAACCCUAAAUCUGCUUGGGCGUCAUGAGGAUCUUGCCCCAAGUGGCCUCCAGCUGGGAGAAUCUCCCUCCACCCACACCAGGGAGAGCUUGGUCAUUAUCUGCAGGGACCAACUACUCAGGACAGGCUUCAAUGAGGACACAGAUUUGAUAGCAUCCUCUCUUCAGGAAGCAGUAACUUUAAACCGGACUAGGUCUUAUGUAAUUGGCACUGUGUCCCUAAUGAAACCAAAAUAUGGUCCCAUAAUGGCUUCUUUGAGGGAGGCACAGGGCAGGUGGGCUGUCCAAAGCCUUCUUUGGAAUUUCACAGGUUUCAGAGAUGUUGGUUCAAGAGGCCUCAGUAUUAUUCAGUCAUAAAAAGGAAUACGUAAGCAAAAAUGUGGCCUAGCCAUGCAAUGGAAUAUUAUUCGGCCAUAAGAGAAUAGCAUUCUAAUACCUGCUACAACACGGAAGAACCUUGAAACACAAUGCUUAGUGAAAGAAGCCAUGCACAAAAGGUCACACAUUAUGUGAUUCCACUUACAUGAAAUAUCCAGAAUAGGUCAAUUCGAGGAGACAGAAGGGGCAUUAGAGGUUGCCAGGGAAGGGGGAUCUAGGGGGUGACUGCUAAUGAGUUCUGCUUUAGGAUAAUGAAGAUGUUCUGGAAUUAAACAGUGGUGAUGGUUGCGCACCCCUGUGAAUGUACUAAAACUAAUUAAUUCUACCCCUUAAAAUGGUGGCUUUUAUGUGAAUUAUAUCUCAAUUGCAUCUAAAUAAAUAAUAAUUUGUAAAGGCCUCAGGAGAGGAGCUGAGCAAUCAGGACUUAAUCCCUGACUUUGCACACUACCUGUCACCCACUGUCUCCAGUCCCUCAUAUUCAUCAGGAGCCUUGUGCAACACAACCUUUGCUGCCUCUGCUUGGAAUGCCAAUCUGCCUGCCUCAGCAUGUCCCAUGAGCCUGCCCAGCUCAGCUCAGUGACCCUUGGCAUCUGCUCUCCCCAUUCCAGUGUAAAGAGAGAUGGUACACAACUCAGCCUAUUAUUGAAAUGCCACCAAGAAGUACCAUGAGCACCAAUCUAGGAUAGGCAAUGUAGCUGGGUCAAGGGUAUCCAAAAGCAAUCUGAACAUACCCACUGUGUUCU
This is a long non-coding RNA of Callithrix jacchus (white-tufted-ear marmoset), 6112 nucleotides long. RefSeq lists it as uncharacterized. NCBI's taxonomy places the organism in Eukaryota, Metazoa, Chordata, Mammalia, Primates, Cebidae. The record is from RefSeq and is a predicted model, not a curated record.